Molecule: ribosomal RNA, 421 nt
Filed under: Listeria monocytogenes
Lineage: Bacteria; Bacillati; Bacillota; Bacilli; Caryophanales; Listeriaceae
Description: partial 23S ribosomal RNA
Rfam family: Bacterial large subunit ribosomal RNA
Source: RNAcentral
UAGUAUCCUUACGUGAAUACAUAGCGUGAGGAAGGCAGACCCAGGGAACUGAAACAUCUAAGUACCUGGAGGAAGAGAAAGAAAAAUCGAUUUCCUGAGUAGCGGCGAGCGAAACGGAAAGAGCCCAAACCAAGAAGCUUGCUUCUUGGGGUUGUAGGACACUCUAUACGGAGUUACAAAAGAAAGUUAUAAAUGAAGCGGUCUGGAAAGGCCCGCCAAAGACGGUAACAGCCCGGUAGUUGAAAUGGCUUUCCCUCCAGAGUGGAUCCUGAGUACGGCGGAACACGUGAAAUUCCGUCGGAAUCCGGGAGGACCAUCUCCCAAGGCUAAAUACUCCCUAGUGACCGAUAGUGAACCAGUACCGUGAGGGAAAGGUGAAAAGCACCCCGGAAGGGGAGUGAAACAGUUCCUGAAACCGUGU